UAAACGGCCCUUUUCAGGGCCACCAAAGUCGGCCCUUUUCAGGACC
Molecule: non-coding RNA, 46 nt
Organism: Lasius niger
Lineage: Eukaryota; Metazoa; Arthropoda; Insecta; Hymenoptera; Formicidae
Source: Rfam